GGAGCGUUCGUCUAGUGGCCUAGGACAUCACCUUUUCAGGGUGAAUAUCGCGAGUUCGAAUCUCGCACGCUUCA
This 74-nucleotide transfer RNA is filed under the name Candidatus Roizmanbacteria bacterium CG22_combo_CG10-13_8_21_14_all_34_12. RNAcentral describes it as "tRNA-Glu". It matches the Rfam family "tRNA". Rfam says of the family: Transfer RNA (tRNA) molecules are approximately 80 nucleotides in length. Lineage: Bacteria; Candidatus Roizmaniibacteriota. The record is from RNAcentral.